ACUCCUACGGGAGGCAGCAGUGGGGAAUUUUGGACAAUGGGCGAAAGCCUGAUCCAGCCAUGCCGCGUGCAGGAUGAAGGCCUUCGGGUUGUAAACUGCUUUUGUACGGAACGAAACGGCCUUUUCUAAUAAAGAGGGCUAAUGACGGUACCGUAAGAAUAAGCACCGGCUAACUACGUGCCAGCAGCCGCGGUAAUACGUAGGGUGCAAGCGUUAAUCGGAAUUACUGGGCGUAAAGCGUGCGCAGGCGGUUAUGUAAGACAGUUGUGAAAUCCCCGGGCUCAACCUGGGAACUGCAUCUGUGACUGCAUAGCUAGAGUACGGUAGAGGGGGAUGGAAUUCCGCGUGUAGCAGUGAAAUGCGUAGAUAUGCGGAGGAACACCGAUGGCGAAGGCAAUCCCCUGGACCUGUACUGACGCUCAUGCACGAAAGCGUGGGGAGCAAACAGGAUUAGAUACCCUUGUAGUCCCAU
Molecule: ribosomal RNA, 472 nt
Filed under: uncultured organism
Description: partial 16S ribosomal RNA
Rfam family: Bacterial small subunit ribosomal RNA
Source: RNAcentral